UUUAAAAAAAAAAAAAACAAAACCCCCCAUUCUUGUGAAUCCCGUUCCCGUGAAUCGACUGCUUGAGUAUGAGCGGUGGCUUUGGUGUGCGGGUCUGGGCUACAAUGGAGAAAGAGGUGGCGGGUUUAGGCUGGAGAGAGAGGGAGAAGUUGCGGUGCUGCUAGGCGGUUUUGCGGGUUGCGAAGGAGAGGGAGAGGGUUCUGGUUGUGGAUUGUUUCACUUAUUUGCGAAGGAGAGUAGGGGUUGCGGGCUGUGGUUUGCUUGCGAUGCUGCGGGCUGUGGGUUGCUUGCGAUGCUGCUGGCUGUUUGGUUGCGGCAUGGUGGUGGAAAGGGGGAGGUUGGAGUUGUGUGGUGUUGAGAUAAGGUGGGGUUGUGACUAUGUGAGGUAGGUGCGUGGUGGCUGGGCGGUUUUGAUGGUUGUUGAAUUGGUGGGUGUUUGGCUAGUAGGCUGCGAAGUUGCAGUCGGAUUUUGGAGGGGAAGGUGGUGCUGCCGGUGCUUGGUGGGGAGGAUUUUUUUUUUGUUUUUUUUUUUUUAAUUAAAUUUUUUAAUUUUUUUGAUUAAAUUUUUUAAUAUUAAUUUAUUUCCUAAAAAGAAAUAUGUUAAAAUUAAAAUAAAAAAAUCUACCUAAUCAUAGGAUAACACGUGUCCAUCUUUAACCUACUUAACAAGUUACCGGUUUUUUUUAUCAUAUUCUUAGAAGAUCAUGUGCAAAAGUCGUUUUAUUGGGGGAUUAUCAAAAGGUGGUUUUAUUUAUGGCAGAUCGAACAAAGGUUAUAAUAUUCAUGUCAAUUUUUCCAUUUUAAUAUUUGUUAUGCAUUACUAUUUUUUUUUUUUUUUUUUGAUAAAAUUACUACUUUCCUGGAUUAACUCAUACUUGUUUAAAUUUUCUAUACUCAUCAUAGUCCGGCCCAUGAAAACGUUCAAAAUUCAAAGAGACAAAGACCAUCCAGUUCUCCGUUAAAACGUUCAAAAUUGUGGCGGGGGGCUCGGCCGGCUCGCAAGUCGUCAUCGCUGAAAAAAAUGCCUAGAGUGUUCUAUUCCAUGCUCCUAUAUCAGUGAGUCGGAAGAUGAUUGCACUUCCAAUAACCUGAAUUGUUGUAUUACCUUCAAAAAAAGGUAUAUCAAUGUUAGGAAUGCAAUUGUACAAUUUGUACCAAAAAAAGGUGAACUUGCUGGUUUCAAGUGACAGCAGCUCAGUUAUCUAAGAUGAUCAGACAUCUCUUUCAUCCCUUUAGUUUGGGAGGCUGCUAUAUAAUGUAUGCAGCUCCACUAAAUCACUAAUACUCCUAUAAUUGCGCCUUAAUUUAGUAUUGAAAAUAUUUAAGUUUUAAAUAUAUAAAUCACUAGAGUAUGAUAAUUGGCUCUUUUAUAACACUUAGGGGGGCGUUUGGUUUGCAGAGUGGUAUAGGUUUGGAAUCAGGAAUAGGGUUGAGGUGGUAUCGGGUUAGAACUUGAUACUUAAUACCAUGUGAUUGGUUCAUUUCAUAUUUGAUACCUAAGGGAAUGGAAUGAGCCAAACCCACCUUCCCCUCAAGGUUUCUAAUCCCCAUACCUCAUGGGUUUGAGGUAUGAGUUUAAAAAUCAUAUUUUUAACAACCAAAUAUAUGGUAUGGGUUUUGGUCAUUCUAAACCCAUACCUAAUACCUAUAAUCCGCGAACUAAACGCUCCCUUAGUGUUAUUUUAUUUACUCUGUAAUAAAAGCUCAUAGUGGGGAAUCGAACUUGAGACUUCUCUCUCAUCAA
Chenopodium quinoa (quinoa) is the source of this 1744-nucleotide long non-coding RNA. RefSeq lists it as uncharacterized. The record is from RefSeq and is a predicted model, not a curated record. The transcript is spliced from 3 exons. NCBI's taxonomy places the organism in Eukaryota, Viridiplantae, Streptophyta, Magnoliopsida, Caryophyllales, Amaranthaceae.